UUGAAGUAUUUUUCGCUAUAAUAAUUAAUGUAAAUAAAGAUUUACGAAGUCAUGAGUUUAUCGAGCAAUCAAUCCCCAAUUCAAUCAAAAUAUUGUUUUCUCUCUCUCCAUAAACAAAUAGUAUUUUUGAUAUGAUGGCUCGGCAGACAAA
This 151-nucleotide small RNA is filed under the name Streptococcus pyogenes. Its description in RNAcentral is "FasX small regulatory RNA". The stretch from base 30 to 151 matches the Rfam family "FasX small RNA", at positions 1 to 122 of the family's 205-position model. Lineage: Bacteria; Bacillati; Bacillota; Bacilli; Lactobacillales; Streptococcaceae. The record is from RNAcentral.